GGGGUUGUAGCUCAGCGGUAGAGCGCUAGCCUCAUACAUGUGAGACCCUGGGUUCAAAUCCCAGCACCA
RNAcentral lists this transfer RNA (69 nucleotides) under Ictidomys tridecemlineatus (thirteen-lined ground squirrel). RNAcentral's name for it is "Spermophilus tridecemlineatus (thirteen-lined ground squirrel) tRNA". It matches the Rfam family "tRNA". Rfam says of the family: Transfer RNA (tRNA) molecules are approximately 80 nucleotides in length. The record is from Rfam by way of RNAcentral. Lineage: Eukaryota; Metazoa; Chordata; Mammalia; Rodentia; Sciuridae.